Molecule: long non-coding RNA, 1046 nt
Filed under: Androctonus crassicauda
Lineage: Eukaryota; Metazoa; Arthropoda; Arachnida; Scorpiones; Buthidae
Source: RNAcentral
CGAAAACGUACUAACAGUAAUAGUCUGGGUUGUAAAUUUAUUCGCCAUUUGCAUUGCUAGGGUAAGGCUAAACUAGCAUUUUUUAAAUACUUACAGCGGUGAACAGAACACGCGCGAAAAUGAACAUGUUCUGUAUGUACGAAUUCUUUUCGUCAAUGUGGCCAUCACCAUUCUUCCGCGUAUGAUCUAUUCGUCGCCGUACGUAUUCGAGAGAAAAAAAAAAGAAAACGUUAGUGUAACCUUACCCUUAAGGGCGCCAAUUAUCUCUAGUACGCACGCGUGCAUCUUCUAACAGUCUAAAACCGGUCCUGCCCAUAACGUAAACAGUGUCGGUACCAAAAAAACAAAUAUUUGACAGUGAAUGGCUGGAUAGUGUGGGUCGGUCGGGCCUAACCAUGCCGGCUUUUAAUAUUACAAUACUUGUAAAGAGUGAAUAUACAAUAUAAGAUUUUUUGAUACGAAGAUUUGAAAUAUCUUGUGUAUUUGUCGAGAAACGAACCCAGAAUGGAAAACCUGUUUUGCCAUAAUUAUUUGGAACUGUUUUGACGUUUUAUAUAAAAGAAAUAAUCAGAUAGUCACAUCGUGUGAAUUUAUUGAAAAUAUAACGAAAAUCUACAUGGUCAUAGCACCAACAAUUAAGUUUGAAUUCUUGUGGGAUUUAAAAUUACGUAAAAGCCCUAAAUUGAGGAACUGUACCAUUAGUUCCUCUAAUUUUUUACAAGAAAAUUUGUACCCACCAAUUUUGGAAGCUCGGAAUCCUAAAUUUUAUAUACAAAAUUAAAUGAAUCACUUGGAAAUUGGUACGAAUCUAAGACUAUCCAAAGAUUGGGAAGCGGUUUCCCUAUUUUUCACUUGGCUGUGGAAAUUUAUCCCUUUAUCAAUAAUUUAUUCGAGACUUGUUAAUAAAAUGAAAAAAUUAAUUACCAGGAAAACAAUUUUUUCAUACUUUUUAGUUCUUAAUUAUCUCUUAGUAAAAAUUUCAUUAAUUUUCCAUUACUUCACUUUUCUAAUAACUUCUCUAAAUAAGAUGACUACCAACAAUCUCG